AUUGAACGCUGGCGGCGUGCCUAACACAUGCAAGUCGUGCGAGAAAGUUCCUUCGGGAGCGAGUAAAGCGGCGCACGGGUGAGUAACACGUAGGUAACCUGCCCCCCAGUCUGGAACAACUAGAGGAAACUCUAGCUAAUGCCGGAUGAGACCACGAUCCCUUCGGGGGUUGCGGCCAAAGAUGGCCUCUACUUGUAAGCUAUCGCUGAGGGAUGGGCCUGCGGGCCAUUAGCUUGUUGGUGAGGUAACGGCUCACCAAGGCUGUGAUGGCUAGCUGGUCUGAGAGGAUGACCAGCCACACUGGGACUGAGACACGGCCCAGACUCCUACGGGAGGCAGCAGUGGGGAAUAUUGCGCAAUGGCGAAAGCCUGACGCAGCGACGCCGCGUGGGUGGAUGAAGGCCUCGGUCGUAA
This 414-nucleotide ribosomal RNA is filed under the name uncultured bacterium. Its description in RNAcentral is "bacterial SSU rRNA". It matches the Rfam family "Bacterial small subunit ribosomal RNA", at positions 30 to 428 of the family's 1533-position model. The record is from RNAcentral.